This 1291-nucleotide ribosomal RNA is filed under the name uncultured bacterium. RNAcentral describes it as "bacterial SSU rRNA". It matches the Rfam family "Bacterial small subunit ribosomal RNA", at positions 191 to 1455 of the family's 1533-position model. The record is from RNAcentral.
GCCCUGAGGGGGAAAGCGGGGGAUUCUUCGGAACCUCGCGCGAUUGGAGCGGCCGAUGUCGGAUUAGCUAGUAGGUGAGGUAAAGGCUCACCUACGCGACGAUCCGUAGCGGGUCUGAGAGGAUGAUCCGCCACACUGGGACUGAGACACGGCCCACACUCCUACUGGAGGCAGCAGUGGGGAAUUUUGGACAAUGGGGGCAACCCUGAUCCAGCCAUGCCGCGUGAGUGAAGAAGGCCUUCGGGUUGUAAAGCUCUUUCGGCCGGGAAGAAAUCGUGGUCUCUAACAUAGGCCAUGGAUGACGGUACCGGACUAAGAAGCACCCGGCUAACUACGUGCCAUCAGCCGCGGUAAUUACGUAGGGUGCGAGCGUUAAUUCGGAAUUACUGGGCGUAAAAGCGUGCGCAGGCGGUUUUGUAAGACAGAUGUGAAAUCCCCGGGCUUAACCUGGGAACUGCGUUUGUGACUACAAGGCUAGAGUACGGCAGAGGGGGGUGGAAUUCCUGGUGUAGCAGUGAAAUGCGUAGAUAUCAGGAGGAACACCGAUGGCGAAGGCAGCCCCCUGGGCUUUGUACUGACGCUCAUGCACGAAAAGCGUGGGGAGCAAAACAGGAUUAGAUACCCUGGUAGUCCACGCCCUAAACGAUGUCGACUAGUCGUUCGGAGCAGCAAUGCACUGAGUGACGCAGCUAACGCGUGAAGUCGACCGCCUGGGGAGUACGGCCGCAAGGUUAAAACUCAAAGGAAUUGACGGGGACCCGCACAAGCGGUGGAUGAUGUGGAUUAAUUCGAUGCAACGCGAAAAACCUUACCUACCCUUGACAUGUCUGGAGCCUUGGUGAGAGCCGAGGGUGCCUUCGGGAGCCAGAACACAGGUGCUGCAUGGCUGUCGUCAGCUCGUGUCGUGAGAUGUUGGGUUAAGUCCCGCAACGAGCGCAACCCUUGUCAUUAGUUGCCAUCAUUUAGUUGGGCACUCUAAUGAGACUGCCGGUGACAAACCGGAGGAAGGUGGGGAUGACGUCAAGUCCUCAUGGCCCUUAUGGGUAGGGCUUCACACGUCAUACAAUGGUUGGUACAGAGGGUUGCCAAACCGCGAGGUGGAGCCAAUCCCUUAAAGCCGAUCGUAGUCCGGAUCGUAGUCUGCAACUCGACUACGUGAAGUCGGAAUCGCUAGUAAUCGCAGAUCAGCAUGCUGCGGUGAAUACGUUCCCGGGUCUUGUACACACCGCCCGUCACACCAUGGGAGUGGGUUUCACCAGAAGUAGGUAGCUUAACCUUCGGGAGGGCGCUA